CGGAAAUGAAAUUCCAGAAAAAAAAAAGUCUAAUUUCCUCAAUCUUAAUCAAGUGAUAUUAAUUUUACGUCCUCAUCCUCAUUUAUUCCCUCUUCGCGUUUCCUCGACGUUCCUGACAUUUUGGAAUGGCAUGCAGAGUACAAGAGGAAUCCGGGAAUUUGUCAAAUUUCACGAGGCAAGUCUAAGGAGUCGAAAGUUGGGGAGGAAAUUCGACUCGGAUAUUUAGCCCCGCGUCCUAUCAACAAUGGCGCUCGUUUGGUAGACUUAACGAGGUCGUUUCCGGGAAUAUUGGUCGAUUGUUAUUAGUGCUAAAUAUUAAUGAGAGGAGACGUUAUAAUCCCGUUAAAAGGAGCCAAGCGUCGGCGUUGGAGAAUCGCUUCUCGAAAUCACGCAUGCGAGAUGAGAGAGUUUACGAUUCCGCCGCAGUUCGCCUCGGGCGGCGCUGCGAUCGCAAAGUGGAAAUCCCGUCUCCCAGGGAGGGAAGAUUUCUUCUUCAGAUCUCCCGGGUAUCCUAGGACGAACUGUAAGAGGUUCAUUGGUCUCUCUCCCGAUCGGACUGAUGGUGGUUUCCAUUCUGGCGGUUUCCAAGAGAUCCGUGAGAGUUGAGACGUCGAAUUGCUGGGUCCUACACAAAAUGGCGGUGCAAGUUCUUCGGGGUGUGGGUGAGGACGGAUUUCGAAUCUCGAAGUUUCGGGCAAGAGGUCCAUCGCUGAGAAGGGUCAUGGGCUUUGGUCGAACUUGGACCAACAACUGUUGUCAUCUCCAGAUGUGCACUUACGACGAGGGGAGAAUAUGUACACCUAGUUCAGAAAUGUGGGGAUCCAAACGCGUCGAAGGGUCAGGAUGAAACUUGACGUCUCCUUCAUAUUGCCUCCACGUGCUGCUGAUAUUUUCGAUAUAACCCUGUCA
Molecule: RNA transcript, 909 nt
Organism: Orussus abietinus
Lineage: Eukaryota; Metazoa; Arthropoda; Insecta; Hymenoptera; Orussidae
Exons: 2
Source: RefSeq, a predicted model, not a curated record